Molecule: long non-coding RNA, 799 nt
Organism: Pseudophryne corroboree (corroboree frog)
Lineage: Eukaryota; Metazoa; Chordata; Amphibia; Anura; Myobatrachidae
Exons: 2
Source: RefSeq, a predicted model, not a curated record
GUUCCGGCUGCUGGUGAUUUAAGCAAGGAUCAGUUCUCCCUGCACUCGGGUUUUUGAGCCCUUCCCCCUCUACAUGCUGAUGCACUUGUCUGGGUUCAGGGCAGCCCAACACAACAGAGGGGAAAAGGAGAGAGAGAGACCUGGUUAUGCUGCUGCCUGGGAGGAAAGAGCCGGCGGAACACGAAGGAGUGGGGAGACCCGCAGAGAGUUAUGCUGCUGCCUGGGAGGAAGGAGCCAGCGGAACAUGAAGGAGAGGGGAGAGCUGCAGAGAGAGAGAGAGAGAGUCCAUGACCUGGUUAUGCUGCUGCCUGGGAGGAUGGAGGCGGCGGAAGACGAAGGAGAGGGGAGAGCCGCACUCAGACGCUGUCACUGCUAUGCACGUCAUUUGCCCCGUACAGCACUGCCAGUGACAGCCAGAUGCAGUCACUGUCAGUGCUGCAGCUGCUGCCCAGUGACCAAUCACAGUGACAGGGGUGCUUUCAGAUAGGCUGAAAGCACAUCCCUGCUGUUCUGCGGCACUUGGGCAGGUGCCGCUUCCAUUACUUGUUUCAAUAGGCUUUUACAGCCCUUUGCUUGGCCCCGCCCCCUGCUUCCGGCCGAUUACAAUGCACAGCAGGAGGCACCGUUCUUGGUGCUGCACAAAUGUAUUUAAACAGCCACACAUUAACAUAAUAUAAAAAAUAUACUUAUGACACAGAAUAUGUGGCACUGCCUCCCCUGACUGCACGUCCCUGCUACACCUGUAUAUAGUAUUGGAUAAAAACAAAAGUAAUGAUUAAAGCACAAUAUAAUUCUUUUA